This 1296-nucleotide ribosomal RNA is filed under the name Bacillus pumilus. RNAcentral's name for it is "bacterial SSU rRNA". It matches the Rfam family "Bacterial small subunit ribosomal RNA", at positions 74 to 1355 of the family's 1533-position model. Lineage: Bacteria; Bacillati; Bacillota; Bacilli; Caryophanales; Bacillaceae. The record is from RNAcentral.
GGAAGCUUGCUCCCGGAUGUUAGCGGCGGACGGGUGAGUAAACACGUGGGUAACCUGCCUGUAAGACUGGGAUAACUCCGGGAAACCGGAGCUAAUACCGGAUAGUUCCUUGAACCGCAUGGUUCAAGGAUGAAAGACGGUUUCGGCUGUCACUUACAGAUGGACCCGCGGCGCAUUAGCUAGUUGGUGGGGUAAUGGCUCACCAAGGCGACGAUGCGUAGCCGACCUGAGAGGGUGAUCGGCCACACUGGGACUGAGACACGGCCCAGACUCCUACGGGAGGCAGCAGUAGGGAAUCUUCCGCAAUGGACGAAAGUCUGACGGAGCAACGCCGCGUGAGUGAUGAAGGUUUUCGGAUCGUAAAGCUCUGUUGUUAGGGAAGAACAAGUGCGAGAGUAACUGCUCGCACCUUGACGGUACCUAACCAGAAAGCCACGGCUAACUACGUGCCAGCAGCCGCGGUAAUACGUAGGUGGCAAGCGUUGUCCGGAAUUAUUGGGCGUAAAGGGCUCGCAGGCGGUUUCUUAAGUCUGAUGUGAAAGCCCCCGGCUCAACCGGGGAGGGUCAUUGGAAACUGGGAAACUUGAGUGCAGAAGAGGAGAGUGGAAUUCCACGUGUAGCGGUGAAAUGCGUAGAGAUGUGGAGGAACACCAGUGGCGAAGGCGACUCUCUGGUCUGUAACUGACGCUGAGGAGCGAAAGCGUGGGGAGCGAACAGGAUUAGAUACCCUGGUAGUCCACGCCGUAAACGAUGAGUGCUAAGUGUUAGGGGGUUUCCGCCCCUUAGUGCUGCAGCUAACGCAUUAAGCACUCCGCCUGGGGAGUACGGUCGCAAGACUGAAACUCAAAGGAAUUGACGGGGGCCCGCACAAGCGGUGGAGCAUGUGGUUUAAUUCGAAGCAACGCGAAGAACCUUACCAGGUCUUGACAUCCUCUGACAACCCUAGAGAUAGGGCUUUCCCUUCGGGGACAGAGUGACAGGUGGUGCAUGGUUGUCGUCAGCUCGUGUCGUGAGAUGUUGGGUUAAGUCCCGCAACGAGCGCAACCCUUGAUCUUAGUUGCCAGCAUUUAGUUGGGCACUCUAAGGUGACUGCCGGUGACAAACCGGAGGAAGGUGGGGAUGACGUCAAAUCAUCAUGCCCCUUAUGACCUGGGCUACACACGUGCUACAAUGGACAGAACAAAGGGCUGCGAGACCGCAAGGUUUAGCCAAUCCCAUAAAUCUGUUCUCAGUUCGGAUCGCAGUCUGCAACUCGACUGCGUGAAGCUGGAAUCGCUAGUAAUCGCGGAUCAGCAU